GUGUCAGCAGCCGCGGUAAUACAGAGGGUGCAAGCGUUAAUCGGAAUGACUGGGCGUAAAGGGCGCGUAGGCGGUUAGAUAAGUUAGAUGUGAAAUCCCUGGGCUUAACCUAGGAACUGCAUUUGAUACUGUCUGACUAGAGUAGGGUAGAGGGAAGUGGAAUUUCCGGUGUAGCGGUGAAAUGCGUAGAUAUCGGAAGGAACACCAGUGGCGAAGGCGGCUUUCUGGACCUAUACUGACGCUGAGGCGCGAAAGCGUGGGGAGCAAACAGGAUUAGAUACCCCAGUAGUCC
RNAcentral lists this ribosomal RNA (292 nucleotides) under uncultured bacterium. RNAcentral's name for it is "partial 16S ribosomal RNA". It matches the Rfam family "Bacterial small subunit ribosomal RNA", at positions 505 to 796 of the family's 1533-position model. The record is from RNAcentral.